This 254-nucleotide ribosomal RNA is filed under the name uncultured bacterium. RNAcentral describes it as "partial 16S ribosomal RNA". It matches the Rfam family "Bacterial small subunit ribosomal RNA", at positions 524 to 776 of the family's 1533-position model. The record is from RNAcentral.
UACGUAGGGUGCGAGCGUUGUCCGGAAUUAUUGGGCGUAAAGAGCUCGUAGGCGGUGUGUCACGUCGGCCGUGAAAACCUGCAGCUUAACUGUGGGCGUGCGGUCGAUACGGGCAUCACUGGAGUUCGGCAGGGGAGACUGGAAUUCCUGGUGUAGCGGUGAAAUGCGCAGAUAUCAGGAGGAACACCGGUGGCGAAGGCGGGUCUCUGGGCAGUAACUGACGCUGAGGCACGAAAGCGUGGGGAGCAAAAGGG